UCGGUCUUGUAGGCACGGACACAGUUGCUGGUUUGCUCGGAAAGGAAAGCGGGUGCAUGCGGGAGCUCAAAGCAGACUGGGUGAUGGGGUUGCAGGUCCUCACAGAGCCCAGACUUGUCUUCAGAACGUCACGCGGGACACGCGGCCGGCUCACGGGUCGUAAUGCCCUGGAGUUUCUCAGAUGACACCCAAGGCCACAACCCCUGAUUAUUCAUAAAAUAAUUAUUCCGCGCAAGUCUGGGGCCGCAUUCAUAUUUGAAAUAUAAUUUUGAUGCGACGUGUGGAGUGUAUGGUAAUGACUUGCUGUUGCGAGAAUGUAAAGAGGGGAAAAUAAGGACGGGAAGGCUUUAAUUCUCCUGCACGACCCCGGGAAGCUGCCAGCCACCUGUUAAGACAUGGACGGGGGUGAUGCUUUUCACUGCUGUGAGUUUUGGGGCCGGCGGCACCGUUUGGGGAGCCUGGGGGGCCCAGCCUUCUGGAUGGCGAUGAUCUCCACGAUUUCCUAUUCCCCGGACGUGGGCACAACACGGAGAGAGCCCAGCUUACUGUGGCCCCGAUUAGACAAACGUCCUGAAGUCCCUGCGUCUCUCAUGGUUUGCCUGAAAUCCUAUAAGUGAUGUCCAACACGGGACCCCGGCAAGAGCCCCACCCAUUCUCACUCUGCUCGGCUGUUUAAUGUCUGGCGGAAAGCCCUGAGUUUCAGCUCUUGGGGUAUCUGAAAUGUCCCAUACGCACUAUGUUCUCUGCACAAUUAAAAAAAAUAAUAAUAAUGCAUUUUGCUUUGAUUAAAAAAAAACUGAAAAGGAAGUGAAUGAAAUCAUAUCUUCCUUCCUCUAAAAUAUAGAAAAGCAUCUGUAUUUCUGUCUCUGUUUCCCCUAUGCAUAAAAGUGGAGGAAAGUGAUUCAUUGCAUUCCCCAGCAUCCCGCUCUGUCCUUAAUGUGAAAUGCAUGGGGGCCUAUACAGGAUCGAGGAUCGGGGCGUCUUACUGGGAUGUCAGACACUAAAUGGCCGUGUCCUCCUCCAUUGUCCCCAUGGUUGCCGGUGACAGAGAGGGAGCCAACUUCCUCCGUCCUCUCCAGCAUGGCUCAAGGAGCAGCCUGUCCACCGACAUGGAGAGCGUCUGCUCACAUACGCACCUUUGAAAAAUGCAAACCCACGACCCAUGUGGACCCUUCCUCCCCGAGGCCCCCUGAGCACCUCCGCGGUCUCCAGAUCAAAGAGAAGAGGCCAGGGAGGUCUGCAAGUCAGAGAAACAGGGAGACCCUUUAGGAAAUUAUGUCCCCACGAUGCCCAGUUACAUCCCAAUGUAAUAAGAAAAAUAAAAUUUUUUUAAAGUAUAAGUGCAUUCCUAGCGUGGCCUGGAAUAGACUUCUAAUCAGAAAAUUAUUGGUUU
This is a long non-coding RNA of Ailuropoda melanoleuca (giant panda), 1393 nucleotides long. RefSeq lists it as uncharacterized. Lineage: Eukaryota; Metazoa; Chordata; Mammalia; Carnivora; Ursidae. The record is from RefSeq and is a predicted model, not a curated record. The transcript has 3 exons.